UACGGAGGGUGCAAGCGUUAAUCGGAAUUACUGGGCGUAAAGCGCACGCAGGUGGCUGAGUCAGUCGAUUGUGAAAGCCCUGGGCUUAACCUGGGAAUUGCAGUCGAUACUACUUAGCUAGAGUAUGGGAGAGGGUAGUGGAAUUCCCGGUGUAGCGGUGAAAUGCGCAGAUAUCGGGAGGAACACCAGUAGCGAAGGCGGUUCUCUGGGCCGGUACUGACGCUGAGGAGCGAAAGCGUGGGGAGCAAACAGG
Molecule: ribosomal RNA, 253 nt
Filed under: uncultured bacterium
Lineage: Bacteria
Description: partial 16S ribosomal RNA
Rfam family: Bacterial small subunit ribosomal RNA
Source: RNAcentral